RNAcentral lists this ribosomal RNA (253 nucleotides) under uncultured bacterium. RNAcentral's name for it is "partial 16S ribosomal RNA". It matches the Rfam family "Bacterial small subunit ribosomal RNA", at positions 524 to 776 of the family's 1533-position model. The record is from RNAcentral.
UACGUAGGGGGCAAGCGUUGUUCGGAUUCACUGGGCGUAAAGGGUGCGUAGGCGGUCGGGUAAGUCUGAUGUGAAAUCUCACAGCUUAACUGUGAAACUGCAUUGGAUACUAUCCGGCUCGAGGAAUGGAGGGGAGACUGGAAUACUUGGUGUAGCAGUGAAAUGCGUAGAUAUCAGGAGGAACACCGGUGGUGUAGACGGCUCUCUGGACCAUAACUGACGCUGAGACACGAAAGCGUGGGUAGCAAACAGG